RNAcentral lists this microRNA precursor (78 nucleotides) under Schistosoma margrebowiei. Its description in RNAcentral is "mir-3492 microRNA precursor family". It matches the Rfam family "mir-3492 microRNA precursor family". Lineage: Eukaryota; Metazoa; Platyhelminthes; Trematoda; Strigeidida; Schistosomatidae. The record is from Rfam by way of RNAcentral.
AGUCUUCUGUAUCUGUGCUGAGAUUUCGUCACCCAUCGGACCACGAAGGCUGAUGAGACUCCCAAGUGAAGUGAAGUG